Long non-coding RNA from Neodiprion fabricii, 145 nucleotides. RefSeq lists it as uncharacterized. Lineage: Eukaryota; Metazoa; Arthropoda; Insecta; Hymenoptera; Diprionidae. The record is from RefSeq and is a predicted model, not a curated record. The transcript is spliced from 3 exons.
AUACAAGAUAUGCUGAGGUUGAUUAGGGAAGAGCUAAAGAUAGGUCUAGAGGAGGUCAAAGGGCAGGGAAGGGGGAUCAGGGAAGAAAUGGAAAAGAUUAAAGGCGAAAUGACUAGAAGGGAAGAGCAUCGAGUAGAGAAAGAGU